Molecule: long non-coding RNA, 488 nt
Organism: Sus scrofa (pig)
Lineage: Eukaryota; Metazoa; Chordata; Mammalia; Artiodactyla; Suidae
Source: RefSeq, a predicted model, not a curated record
ACAGUUGUCAGUCCCUGCUGGAAAUGCCCGCCAGUGGCCAGAAGUGGGUCAUGAGUGUAAUGAGCCAGUCAGCCUGACAUCUGCACUCUUUAGUCCAGCCUCAGGUUUCCACCUGGAUCUAGCAACUUGCGAGCUUCAGAGCAGAGAGUAAUGGGAAGACAGCCUGGAUUCUGAAAAGCCCAGAUUCUGCAAUUGAAGAGAAUCAUACAUACCUGACUGGCAUGGGGCUAGAGAUUUUUCCACCAAAACCCACUGUGAUCAUGUUUAUUUCAUUUCAUCCAGUAGACUGGACUCUCUUCAUAUGCACUUUUUUCAUCUCCAGCUUCAGGCAGAUUAACUCAGCAAACUUGGAAGCCAGAUGAUGAAAACUGAAAAACUGUAAGAUGGAAGGGAUAUGGAACUCCAGUUCACUGCUUGAAGAAGGGCAGUCAGAGUUAACAGUUUUAGACUUUAUAAGGAGAAAUAAAUUUAUGUCAUGUGAACAAUUA